UGAGUAGGGAUGCUCUUGUGGAUAUUUAU
Molecule: non-coding RNA, 29 nt
Filed under: Mus musculus (house mouse)
Lineage: Eukaryota; Metazoa; Chordata; Mammalia; Rodentia; Muridae
Source: RNAcentral